UAGGGAAUCUUCGGCAAUGGACGAAAGUCUGACCGAGCAACGCCGCGUGAGUGAAGAAGGUUUUCGGAUCGUAAAACUCUGUUGUUAGAGAAGAACAAGGACGUUAGUAACUGAACGUCCCCUGACGGUAUCUAACUAGAAAGCCACGGCUAACUACGUGCCAGCAGCCGCGGUAAUACGUAGGUGGCAAGCGUUGUCCGGAUUUAUUGGGCGUAAAGCGAGCGCAGGCGGUUUCUUAAGUCUGAUGUGAAAGCCCCCGGCUCAACCGGGGAGGGUCAUUGGAAACUGGGAGACUUGAGUGCAGAAGAGGAGAGUGGAAUUCCAUGUGUAGCGGUGAAAUGCGUAGAUAUAUGGAGGAACACCAGUGGCGAAGGCUGCUCUCUAGUCUGUAGCUGACGCUGAGGCUCGAAAGCGUGGGGAGCAAACAGG
Molecule: ribosomal RNA, 429 nt
Filed under: Gemmatimonadota bacterium
Lineage: Bacteria; Pseudomonadati; Gemmatimonadota
Description: Gemmatimonadetes bacterium partial 16S ribosomal RNA
Rfam family: Bacterial small subunit ribosomal RNA
Source: RNAcentral